Molecule: non-coding RNA, 87 nt
Organism: Potamilus streckersoni
Lineage: Eukaryota; Metazoa; Mollusca; Bivalvia; Unionida; Unionidae
Source: the annotation of a GenBank genome assembly
GCUCCUGUGGCUUAGUGGUUAGAGCGCCGGCCUCGGAUGCGGGAGGUUGUGGAAUUUUUGAUCUCCGGUCGAGUCAUACCAAAGACU